UAGGGAAUCUUCCGCAAUGGGCGAAAGCUUGACGGAGCAACGCCGCGUGAGUGAUGAAGGUCUUCGGAUCGUAAAACUCUGUUAUUAGGGAAGAACAAAUGUGUAAGUAACUAUGCACGUCUUGACGGUACCUAAUCAGAAAGCCACGGCUAACUACGUGCCAGCAGCCGCGGUAAUACGUAGGUGGCAAGCGUUGUCCGGAUUUAUUGGGCGUAAAGCGAGCGCAGGCGGUUAGAAAAGUCUGAAGUGAAAGGCAGUGGCUCAACCAUUGUAGGCUUUGGAAACUGUUUAACUUGAGUGCAGAAGGGGAGAGUGGAAUUCCAUGUGUAGCGGUGAAAUGCGUAGAUAUAUGGAGGAACACCGGUGGCGAAAGCGGCUCUCUGGUCUGUAACUGACGCUGAGGCUCGAAAGCGUGGGGAGCGAACAGG
This 428-nucleotide ribosomal RNA is filed under the name Bacteroidota bacterium. Its description in RNAcentral is "Bacteroidetes bacterium partial 16S ribosomal RNA". It matches the Rfam family "Bacterial small subunit ribosomal RNA", at positions 355 to 776 of the family's 1533-position model. The record is from RNAcentral. Lineage: Bacteria; Pseudomonadati; Bacteroidota.